AUUGAACGCUGGCGGCAUGCCUUACACAUGCAAGUCGAACGGCAGCACGGGUGCUUGCUCCUGGUGGCGAGUGGCGAACGGGUGAGUAAUACAUCGGAACGUACCUUAUCGUGGGGGAUAACGCAGCGAAAGCUGUGCUAAUACCGCAUACGCCCUGAGGGGGAAAGCGGGGGAUCGCAAGACCUCGCGCGAUUAGAGCGGCCGAUGCCUGAUUAGCUUGUUGGUGGGGUAAAAGCCCACCAAGGCGACGAUCAGUAGCUGGGCUGAGAGGACGAUCAGCCACACGGGGACUGAGACACGGCCCAGACUUCUACGGGAGGCAGCAGUGGGGAAUUUUAGACAAUGGGCGCAACCCUGAUCCAGCAAUGCCGCGUGAGUGAAGAAGGCCUUCGGGUUGUAAAGCUCUUUUGUCAGGGAAGAAACACCGGCUCUAACACAGUCUGGGAAUGACGGUACCUGAAGAAUAAGCACCGGCUAACUACGUGCCAGCCGCCGCAGUAA
RNAcentral lists this ribosomal RNA (501 nucleotides) under uncultured bacterium. RNAcentral describes it as "partial 16S ribosomal RNA". It matches the Rfam family "Bacterial small subunit ribosomal RNA", at positions 30 to 523 of the family's 1533-position model. The record is from RNAcentral.